GACGAACGCUGGCGGCGUGCCUAAUACAUGCAAGUCGAACGGUGAGGCAGGAGCUUGCUUCUCUGGAUGAGUUGCGAACGGGUGAGUAACGCGUAGGUAACCUGCCUGGUAGCGGGGGAUAACUUUUGGAAACGAUAGCUAAUACCGCAUAAUAGUAGAUGUUGCAUGACAUUUGCUUAAAAGGUGCAAUUGCAUCACUACCAGACGGGCCUGCGUUGUAUUAGCUAGUUGGUGGGGUAACGGCACACUAUGGCGAGGAAACAUAGUCGGCCUGAGAGGGUGGUCGGCCGGACUGAGAGUGAGACCGGGCCCAUACUCCUUCGGGAAGGGGCCAUAGGGAAACUGCGGGAAUUGGCGGAAAACUUUCCGCGAUACGCCGCGGGAUGGAAGAAGGUUGUCGGGUCCGAAAGCUCGGUUUUCAGGGAAGAACCAGCUUUAGACUGUAAAGUUCACACUGUGACGGUAUCUUACAAGAAAGAGACGGCUAACUACGUG
RNAcentral lists this ribosomal RNA (495 nucleotides) under uncultured bacterium. Its description in RNAcentral is "partial 16S ribosomal RNA". It matches the Rfam family "Bacterial small subunit ribosomal RNA", at positions 28 to 507 of the family's 1533-position model. The record is from RNAcentral.